Molecule: ribosomal RNA, 468 nt
Filed under: uncultured bacterium
Lineage: Bacteria
Description: partial 16S ribosomal RNA
Rfam family: Bacterial small subunit ribosomal RNA
Source: RNAcentral
GACGAACGCUGGCGGCGUGCUUAACACAUGCAAGUCGAACGGAAAAGCCCUGCUUUUGUGGGGUGCUCGAGUGGCGAACGGGUGAGUAACACGGGAGUAACCUGCCCUUGACUUUGGGAUAACUUCAGGAAACUGGGGCUAAUACCGGAUAGGAGCUCCUGCUGCAUGGUGGGGGUUGGAAAGUUUCGGCGGUUGGGGAUGGACUCGCGGCUUAUUAGCUUGUUGGUGGGGGAGUGGCCUACCAAGGCAUAGGCGGGUAGUCGGCCUGGGAGGGUGACCGGCGUCAUGGGGACUGAGAUACGGCGCAGACUCCUACGGGAGGCAGCAGUGGGGAAUAUUGCACAAUGGGCGGAAGCCUGAUGCGGCAGCGCCGCGUGCGGGAUGACGGCCUUCGUGUUGUAAACCGCUUUCGCCUGUGACGAAGCGUGAGUGACGGUAAUGGGUAAAGAAGCACCGGCUAACUACGUG